This 254-nucleotide ribosomal RNA is filed under the name uncultured bacterium. RNAcentral's name for it is "partial 16S ribosomal RNA". It matches the Rfam family "Bacterial small subunit ribosomal RNA", at positions 79 to 334 of the family's 1533-position model. The record is from RNAcentral.
CUUUCUUUGCUGGCGACCGGCGCACGGGUGAGUAACACGUAUCCAACUUGUCGAUAACUCCGGAAUAGCCUUUCGAAAGAAAGAUUAAUACCGGAUGGCAUACGAAUAUCGCAUGAUAUUUUUAUUAAAGAAUUUCGGUUAUCGAUGGGGAUGCGUUCCAUUAGUUUGUUGGCGGGGUAACGGCCCACCAAGACUACGAUGGAUAGGGGUUCUGAGAGGAAGGUCCCCCACAUUGGAACUGAGACACGGUCCAA